AUUGAACGCUGGCGGAAUGCUUUACACAUGCAAGUCGAACGGUAACAGGGAGCUUGCUCCGCUGGCGAGUGGCGAACGGGUGAGUAACGCAUCGGAACGUGCCCAGUAGUGGGGGGAUAACCAGUCGAAAGACUGGCUAAUACCGCAUACUACCUAAGGGUGAAAGCGGGGGACCGUAAGGCCUCGCGCUAUUGGAGCGGCCGAUGUCUGAUUAGCUAGUUGGUGGGGUAACGGCCUACCAAGCCUACGACGAUUAGCUGGUCUGAGAGGAUGGUCAGCCACAUUGGAACUGAGACACUGUCCAGACUCCUACGGGAGGCUGCAGUCGAGAAUCUUGGUCAAUGCACGAAAGUGUGAACCAGCGACGCCGCGUGAAGGAUGAAGGCCCUCUGGGUCGUAAACUUCUUUUGUGAGAGAAGAACGAGGCGCAAGCCUCUUGACGGUAUCUCACGAAUAAGCCACGGCUAACUACGUGCCA
RNAcentral lists this ribosomal RNA (478 nucleotides) under uncultured bacterium. Its description in RNAcentral is "bacterial SSU rRNA". It matches the Rfam family "Bacterial small subunit ribosomal RNA", at positions 30 to 510 of the family's 1533-position model. The record is from RNAcentral.